CAUAUAUAUAUGGAGAGAGCGAGAGAGAGAGAGAUCCAUCUUAUAUACAGAGAGAGAUAAAGUCCUACGUUGGAUUAGCUGUCUGCAGAAUGUGAGCCAUUACCUCAAUUUCCCUCUAUCUCCUCUAGUCCUGAGGUCCCAGGUGGUAAACAAUACCAACUUUUCUUUCUCAUGAUGGUUUCCAGAAGUGAACAAAGGACAUCCAGAACACACUGUCUUCUUUGGAAACAUGAUUCCAGAGUUACUAGAAGAUGAAAAAUUUUAAAGAAAGAAUGAGAAUAUUCACAUUGGGGCAGAGAAAAGAAGAUAUGCCAGGAAGAAGGAAAAGCAUGUGAAAAGCUCGAAAUUGAAAAGGCAGCUGAAAUAACCAAAGAGAGAUAUUUUGAAACAGUUCAUUAUCUAAUUGGCCCUACCUUAUUGCCUGGAUAAGAAGGACUAAGAGAAUAACAGAAUGUGGCCCAAGAAAGACUCAUUGACCCAGUAUUACGUUGUUCUGUUACCUUGAUGACACCAUGGACGUUCUACAGGCUCAAGGAAAAUACCACCAGGCAGAAACUUUGAUCUUCAGAAAGGAAUAAGUGUACCAAAA
Phacochoerus africanus (Common warthog) is the source of this 589-nucleotide long non-coding RNA. RefSeq lists it as uncharacterized. The record is from RefSeq and is a predicted model, not a curated record. The transcript is spliced from 5 exons. NCBI's taxonomy places the organism in Eukaryota, Metazoa, Chordata, Mammalia, Artiodactyla, Suidae.